This 366-nucleotide long non-coding RNA is filed under the name Pan troglodytes (chimpanzee). Its description in RNAcentral is "long non-coding RNA NONPTRT010665". The record is from RNAcentral. Lineage: Eukaryota; Metazoa; Chordata; Mammalia; Primates; Hominidae.
UAUGAUGAACUGUCAGCUACUUUCUUAGAAAUGAAAGGACAUUUCUACAUGCAUGCAGGUUCUCUGCUCUUGAAGAUGGGUCAGCAUGGUAAUAAUGUUCAAUGGCGAGCUCUUUCUGAGCUGGCUGCAUUGUGCUAUCUCAUAGCAUUUCAGGGCACAUGUUGCUAAACUUAAGUCGUGGCAAGCAAGAUUUUUUAAAAGAGGUUGUUGAAACUUUUGCCAACAAAAGCGGGCAGUCUGCAUUAUAUGAUGCUCUGUUUUCUAGUCAGUCACCUAAGGAUACAUCUUUUCUUGGUAGCGAUGAUAUUGGAAACAUUGAUGUACGAGAACCAGAGCUUGAAGAUUUGGCUAGAUACGAUGUUGGUA